Molecule: ribosomal RNA, 253 nt
Filed under: uncultured bacterium
Lineage: Bacteria
Description: partial 16S ribosomal RNA
Rfam family: Bacterial small subunit ribosomal RNA
Source: RNAcentral
GACGAACCGUGCGAACGUUGUUCGGAAUCACUGGGCUUAAAGGGCGCGUAGGCGGCUCGCCAAGUCAGGGGUGAAAUCCUCCAGCUCAACUGGAGAAGUGCCUUUGAUACUGGCGGGCUCGAGCGAGGUAGGGGCGGGUGGAACUUCCGGUGGAGCGGUGAAAUGCGUUGAUAUCGGAAGGAACGCCGGUGGCGAAAGCGACCCGCUGGACCUCUUCUGACGCUGAGGCGCGAAAGCUAGGGUAGCGAACGGG